AGAGUUUGAUCAUGGCUCAGGAUGAACGCUAGCUACAGGCUUAACACAUGCAAGUCGAGGGGAAACGACAUCGAAAGCUUGCUUUUGAUGGGCGUCGACCGGCGCACGGGUGAGUAACGCGUAUGCAACUUGCCUAUCAGAGGGGGAUAACCCGGCGAAAGUCGGACUAAUACCGCAUGAAGCAGGGAUCCCGCAUGGGAAUAUUUGCUAAAGAUUCAUCGCUGAUAGAUAGGCAUGCGUUCCAUUAGGCAGUUGGCGGGGUAACGGCCCACCAAACCGACGAUGGAUAGGGGUUCUGAGAGGAAGGUCCCCCACAUUGGUACUGAGACACGGACCAAACUCCUACGGGAGGCAGCA
Molecule: ribosomal RNA, 357 nt
Filed under: uncultured bacterium
Lineage: Bacteria
Description: bacterial SSU rRNA
Rfam family: Bacterial small subunit ribosomal RNA
Source: RNAcentral